RNAcentral lists this long non-coding RNA (1088 nucleotides) under Heterocephalus glaber (naked mole-rat). RNAcentral describes it as "lncRNA (ENSHGLG00000032552.1)". Lineage: Eukaryota; Metazoa; Chordata; Mammalia; Rodentia; Bathyergidae. The record is from RNAcentral.
CGGGCCUCCGGGCAGCCUGGGCGCCUCCGCCGUGGCCGUGCGGGCGGCCUGCCCUCCCCGGCCUCCGGGGCGGGGAGCUCCGAGAUGCGCGCCCGUUUCUAAGGGCGGUGGGGGGCGGUACUCACCUGAGGGCGCCGACAGCGGGGCGCGGGUCCAGGCCUGGGCUCCGGGCGGGCGGCGGACGGCGGGCAGCGGCCGGGCCCGAGGUCGGGGCCGGGGCGAGCACGAGGCGGCGCGGCCCUCCUUUCCUCUCUCGCCCUUUAUUCUUUCUUUUGCUUUUUUGUUUGCUUCCUGCGAGGCGGCUGCAGCCGCGUGCGCGCAGCGCCCCAAGCGGGCGGCGCCGUUUCCGGUGCUCGGUCCGCUCGGCCGCGCCUCGGCCCGCAGCCCGCAGCCCUCAGAGCGCCCGCCCGCCCUCGGGUCCGCGCUCCGACCUCUCCAGCCCCAGCUGCGUGGCCCGCACGUGUCCUCCUGCGACAGCGCCCCGCCCGACAGCGCUCCGCCCGCCUGCCGCUUCCUGCUGCGCCCCUUCUGCCUCGCCCCGUUGCAGUCUGUGCCUUUGCCGUUGUUGGUCACAUCUGCCUGUUCCCCCCCCUCCCCACAGCCGGGUCGGCGGUGUCCCCAUCAGCACUCAGGGCGGCGCUCGAGCAACAGUGCCGCGGGCUUGGUCAGCGUGCGUUGCAGUUCCGUAUUUACUUAAAACAUGCCGAAAAGGGAAUUAAUAGGUUAAUACAAAGCCAUUCACCCAUUCUUGAAAUCCAACAUACUGUGCCUUGUCUAGUAUUUUUCUAUUCUUUAUUUUUGGUACCGCAGAUGGAACUCGGGACCUUGCGCUUUCGAGGCAGGCGGCAGAACCAGUGAGCUAAAUCUCCGGCCCCCCUUGUCUAAUAUUUUUAGGCAACACGGCAGACAUAAGUCUACAGUCCCCCCCACCCCUCUGUUAAGUACGAGAUGAGGUCUGAGGAGACCCUUCUGGAAGGCACCAUCCUCAUCCCCGACUCCCCAAGCACGGCUACUGUUACUGUCUUGCUGUGUAGUUCAGGCUGGUCUUGAACUCCUGGCAAUCCGUGCCCAACUCCACCAUUUUUUUU